AACAGAGCUAUAAAAUGAGAGGACA
RNAcentral lists this small RNA (25 nucleotides) under Arabidopsis thaliana (thale cress). RNAcentral describes it as "ATSL226190". The record is from RNAcentral. Lineage: Eukaryota; Viridiplantae; Streptophyta; Magnoliopsida; Brassicales; Brassicaceae.